AGCAGUAGCCACGGGAAUACGUAGGUGGCAAGCGUUGUCCGGAAUUAUUGGGCGUAAAGCGCGCGCAGGCGGAUCAGUCAGUCUGUCUUAAAAGUUCGGGGCUUAACCCCGUGAUGGGAUGGAAACUGCUGAUCUAGAGUAUCGGAGAGGAAAGUGGAAUUCCUAGUGUAGCGGUGAAAUGCGUAGAUAUUAGGAAGAACACCAGUGGCGAAGGCGACUUUCUGGACGAAAACUGACGCUGAGGCGCGAAAGCCAGGGGAGCGAACGGGAUUAGAUACCCCUGUAGUCCCUGUCUCUUAUACA
Molecule: ribosomal RNA, 303 nt
Filed under: uncultured bacterium
Lineage: Bacteria
Description: partial 16S ribosomal RNA
Rfam family: Bacterial small subunit ribosomal RNA
Source: RNAcentral